Molecule: ribosomal RNA, 408 nt
Filed under: uncultured bacterium
Lineage: Bacteria
Description: bacterial SSU rRNA
Rfam family: Bacterial small subunit ribosomal RNA
Source: RNAcentral
UGAACGCUGGCGGCAGGCCUAAUACAUGCAAGUCGAACGGCAGCACAGCAGAGCUUGCUCUGUGGGUGGCGAGUUGGCGGACGGGUGAGGAAUACAUGGGAAUCUGCCCAGUCGUGGGGGAUAACGUAGGGAAACUUACGCUAAUACCGUCAUGCGCCCUUCCGGGGGAAAGCCGGGGACCUUCGGGCCUGGCGCGAUUGGAUGAGCCCAUGUCGGAUUAGCUAGUUGGCGGGGUAACGGCCCACCAAGGCGACGAUCCGUAGCUGGUCUGAGAGGACGAUCAGCCACACUGGGACUGAGACACGGCCCAGACUCCUACGGGAGGUCAGCAGUUGGGGAAUAUUGGACAAUGGGGGAAACCCUGAUCCAGCGACGCCGCGUGGGUGAAGAAGGCCUGCGGGUUGUAAA